This 298-nucleotide ribosomal RNA is filed under the name uncultured bacterium. Its description in RNAcentral is "partial 16S ribosomal RNA". It matches the Rfam family "Bacterial small subunit ribosomal RNA", at positions 475 to 776 of the family's 1533-position model. The record is from RNAcentral.
CUAUGCGCCUUGCCAGCCCGCUCAGGUGUGCCAGCCGCCGCGGUAAUACGGAGGAUGCGAGCGUUAUCCGGAUUUAUUGGGUUUAAAGGGUGCGUAGGCGGAGUGUCAAGUCAGCGGUAAAAUUUCGGGGCUCAACCCCGUCGUGCCGUUGAAACUGACACCCUUGAGUGAGUGAGAAGUAAGCGGAAUGCGUGGUGUAGCGGUGAAAUGCAUAGAUAUCACGCAGAACGCCGAUUGCGAAGGCAGCUUACCGGCGCUCAACUGACGCUGAAGCACGAAAGCGUGGGUAUCGAGCAGG